RNAcentral lists this transfer RNA (56 nucleotides) under Cryptopone sauteri. Its description in RNAcentral is "tRNA-Ser". The record is from RNAcentral. Lineage: Eukaryota; Metazoa; Arthropoda; Insecta; Hymenoptera; Formicidae.
GAAAUAUCCUUAUGAACUUCUAAUUCAUUCUUAAGUGAAUAACCCACUAUAUUUCU